GGUCGAUCAUGGCUCAGACGAACGCUGGUGGGAUGCUUGCUACACGUGUCGGGAACGCAGCACGGACUUCGGUCUGUGGCGAGUGGCGAACGGGUGAGUAAUGGGUAUCGGAAUGCCUUAGUAGUGGGCACAACGAUAGCAGCGGUAGCGACAUCGCAUAUCUUCGGGAAAGCAAUCUUCUGGCUCGCAACGAUAGAGCUGGCUGAUAUCGAUUUAGCUAGUUGGUGGGGUAACGGCUCACCAAGGCGACGAUCCGCAGCUGGCUUUGAGGAGGAUGACCAGCCACAUUCGGGACUGAGACACGGCCCAGACUCUACGGGAGGCAAGCAGUGGGGAAUUUUUGGACAACGGGGGAAACCCUGAUUCGCGGUCCCGCGGGUGAUGGAAGGCCUUCGGGUUGCAGCACUUUGGCAGGAAGAAACGGCACGGAUAAUAUCACUCCUGUGCAACUGACGGUACCUGCAGAAUAAGCACCGGGCUAACUACGUGCCAGCAGCCGCGGUAAUACGUAGGGUGCAAGCGUUAAUCGGAAUUGACGGCAAGCGUGGCAGGCGUUCUGGAAAGAAAGAUGUGAAAUCCCAGAGCUUAACUUUGAACUGCAUUUUUAACUACUGAGUUAGAGUGUGUCAGAGGGAGGUGGAAUUCCGCGUGUAGCAGGAAUGGCGUAGAUAUGCGGAGGAACACCGAUGGCGAAGGCAGCUCUGGGGACAGCAAUUGACGCUCGAUGCACGAAAGCGUAGAGCAAAAUGAGAUUAGAUACCUGUAGUCCACGCCCAAACGAUGUUUCACCAUACAAAUGUCAGCGCAGCUAUCAGGUGAAGUUGACCGCCUGGGGAGUACGGUCGUAAGAUUAAACUCAAAGGAAUUGACGGGGACUCCGCACAAGCGGUGGAUGAUUAAUCGAUAACGCGAAAAACCUUACCUACCCUUGACAUGUCUGGAAUCCCCAGCGAUUUGGGUGCCUGCAAGAGAACCGGAACACAGGUGUCAUUAUGUCGUCACUGUAUGUCGUGAGAUGCUGGUUAAGUCCUGCAACGAGCGCAACCCUUGUCAUUAGUUGCUACGAAAGGGCACCUUCUCUAUGAGAUUGCCGGUGACAACCGGAGGAAGGUGGGAUGACGUUUGUCUCGGCAUUCUAUGGGUAGGGUUUCACACGUCGCUACAAUGAAAUGGGACAGAGGGUCGCCAACCCGCGAGGGGAGCCAAUCCCAGAAACCCGAUCGUGCAGUCCGGAUCGCAGUUCAAAUCAUCAGAAGUCGGAACGCUAGUAACUAUGGACCAGCACGUCGCGUGAAUACGUUCCCGGUCUUGUACACACCGCCCGUCACACCAUGGGAGUGGGUUUUACCAGAAGUAGUUAGCCCAACCGUAUAGCGAUUACCACGGUAGGAUUCAUGACCGGGUGAAGUCGUAACAAGGUAG
This 1422-nucleotide ribosomal RNA is filed under the name uncultured Bordetella sp. RNAcentral describes it as "partial 16S-23S ribosomal RNA intergenic spacer". It matches the Rfam family "Bacterial small subunit ribosomal RNA". The record is from RNAcentral. Lineage: Bacteria; Pseudomonadati; Pseudomonadota; Betaproteobacteria; Burkholderiales; Alcaligenaceae.